GGUACAGGGAAACCUGAUAAUCCUGCAUGUAACAUAUACGCUGGGGAAGAAGCAGACCCUGUAAAUCCCCCCUGCCAGGUCUGCACUGAAGAGGCAACGGGCUCAUUUCUGCUGCGGAGGCUAGCCUCUGCAAAGUGAGUAAAUUGAAUAUAACCAUAUAAUGGUCGUGUCAUUUACGCAAAAGACCGAGGAGCACCAGCUGGAACGGAGGGAAUGAGAGUGCUGCCAACCUCCUUCAGGAUGAACGCUCCUCAGAGUCCUUGAUUUGGUCCUGGAGUGCAAUGCAGACCGAGGGCCUGCUCUCCGACGAGCGUGCUGUACUCCCUGCCCGUCUGCAGGGCCCAUUAGUGGUAAUGAGGUGGCUGUCUGCAGCCUCUCCCCGUGCCCGCAAAAGGAAAAUCAAACUCUUUCCUCUGUAUGGUCCCCACAGGCAAGAGCUGUAAUCCUCUCUCUGAAUAAAUUCCUGGCUCUGACCCUGUACCAUGGGGACAGAUCACAGUUUAAUGCCAGUCAUUUACAAGCUGAACACCAGGGACACCGAUGAGCAUGUACCAUUGCAGAUAACGGAAUGAGCUCCAAAACUGUCUGAGCCUUCU
Molecule: long non-coding RNA, 596 nt
Organism: Cygnus olor (mute swan)
Lineage: Eukaryota; Metazoa; Chordata; Aves; Anseriformes; Anatidae
Exons: 3
Source: RefSeq, a predicted model, not a curated record